UGCAGUCGAGCGGUAGCACAGAGAGCUUGCUCUCGGGUGACGAGCGGCGGACGGGUGAGUAAUGUCUGGGAAACUGCCUGAUGGAGGGGGAUAACUACUGGAAACGGUAGCUAAUACCGCAUAACGUCGCAAGACCAAAGUGGGGGACCUUCGGGCCUCAUGCCAUCAGAUGUGCCCAGAUGGGAUUAGCUGGUAGGUGGGGUAACGGCUCACCUAGGCGACGAUCCCUAGCUGGUCUGAGAGGAUGACCAGCCACACUGGAACUGAGACACGGUCCAGACUCCUACGGGAGGCAGCAGUGGGGAAUAUUGCACAAUGGGCGCAAGCCUGAUGCAGCCAUGCCGCGUGUGUGAAGAAGGCCUUCGGGUUGUAAAGCACUUUCAGCGGGGAGGAAGGCGGUGAGGUUAAUAACCUCAUCGAUUGACGUUACCCGCAGAAGAAGCACCGGCUAACUCCGUGCCAGCAGCCGCGGUAAUACGGAGGGUGCAAGCGUUAAUCGGAAUUACUGGGCGUAAAGCGCACGCAGGCGGUCUGUCAAGUCGGAUGUGAAAUCCCCGGGCUCAACCUGGGAACUGCAUUCGAAACUGGCAGGCUAGAGUCUUGUAGAGGGGGGUAGAAUUCCAGGUGUAGCGGUGAAAUGCGUAGAGAUCUGGAGGAAUACCGGUGGCGAAGGCGGCCCCCUGGACAAAGACUGACGCUCAGGUGCGAAAGCGUGGGGAGCAAACAGGAUUAGAUACCCUGGUAGUCCACGCUGUAAACGAUGUCGAUUUGGAGGUUGUGCCCUUGAGGCGUGGCUUCCGGAGCUAACGCGUUAAAUCGACCGCCUGGGGAGUACGGCCGCAAGGUUAAAACUCAAAUGAAUUGACGGGGGCCCGCACAAGCGGUGGAGCAUGUGGUUUAAUUCGAUGCAACGCGAAGAACCUUACCUGGUCUUGACAUCCACAGAACUUUCCAGAGAUGGAUUGGUGCCUUCGGGAACUGUGAGACAGGUGCUGCAUGGCUGUCGUCAGCUCGUGUUGUGAAAUGUUGGGUUAAGUCCCGCAACGAGCGCAACCCUUAUCCUUUGUUGCCAGCGGUUAGGCCGGGAACUCAAAGGAGACUGCCAGUGAUAAACUGGAGGAAGGUGGGGAUGACGUCAAGUCAUCAUGGCCCUUACGACCAGGGCUACACACGUGCUACAAUGGCAUAUACAAAGAGAAGCGACCUCGCGAGAGCAAGCGGACCUCAUAAAGUAUGUCGUAGUCCGGAUUGGAGUCUGCAACUCGACUCCAUGAAGUCGGAAUCGCUAGUAAUCGUAGAUCAGAAUGCUACGGUGAAUACGUUCCCGGGCCUUGUACACACCGCCCGUCACACCAUGGGAGUGGGUUGCAAAAGAAGUAGGUAGCUUAACCUUCGGGAGGGCGC
This 1404-nucleotide ribosomal RNA is filed under the name Klebsiella sp. RNAcentral describes it as "bacterial SSU rRNA". It matches the Rfam family "Bacterial small subunit ribosomal RNA". Lineage: Bacteria; Pseudomonadati; Pseudomonadota; Gammaproteobacteria; Enterobacterales; Enterobacteriaceae. The record is from RNAcentral.